UGCCAGCAGCCGCGGUAAUACGUGAGCCCCGAGCGUUGUCCGGAAUCACUGGGCGUAAAGGGUGCGUAGGCGGCCUUGUUAGUCGUGUGUUAAAGACCGAUGCUCAACAUCGGGAAGGCAUACGAAACGGCAAAGCUAGAGUGUGCAAGAGGUAUAUGGAACUCAUGGUGUAGGGGUGAAAUCCGUUGAUAUCAUGGGGAACACCAAAAGCGAAGGCAAUAUACUGGUGCACUACUGACGCUGAGGCACGAAAGCCAGGGUAGCGAAUGGGAUUAGAUA
RNAcentral lists this ribosomal RNA (279 nucleotides) under uncultured bacterium. Its description in RNAcentral is "partial 16S ribosomal RNA". It matches the Rfam family "Bacterial small subunit ribosomal RNA", at positions 506 to 784 of the family's 1533-position model. The record is from RNAcentral.